Molecule: ribosomal RNA, 484 nt
Filed under: uncultured bacterium
Lineage: Bacteria
Description: partial 16S ribosomal RNA
Rfam family: Bacterial small subunit ribosomal RNA
Source: RNAcentral
AUUGAACGCUGGCGGAAUGCUUUACACAUGCAAGUCGAACGGCAGCACGGGGGCAGCCCUGGUGGCGAGUGGCGAACGGGUGAGUAAUACAUCGGAACGUGCCCGGUCGUGGGGGAUAACGUAGCGAAAGUUACGCUAAUACCGCAUACGAACUGAGGAUGAAAGCGGGGGACCUUCGGGCCUCGCGCGAUCGGAGCGGCCGAUGUCAGAUUAGGUAGUUGGUGGGGUAAAGGCCUACCAAGCCGACGAUCUGUAGCUGGUCUGAGAGGACGACCAGCCACACUGGGACUGAGACACGGCCCAGACUCCUACGGGAGGCAGCAGUGGGGAAUUUUGGACAAUGGGCGCAAGCCUGAUCCAGCCAUUCCGCGUGCAGGACGAAGGCCUUCGGGUUGUAAACUGCUUUUGUACGGAACGAAAAGGCUCUGGCUAAUACCUGGGGCUCAUGACGGUACCGUAAGAAUAAGCACCGGCUAACUACGUG